GAGGAACUAACAUGAAGAAACAAUUUCCAAACUACUUUUGACUGAACUACGCAGCUAAACCAAAUAACAUUAAGCUAACUCCUAGAGAUUAAACUAAUAAAUGACCAAUUAAACAGACUAUGAAAGAAUUCAAACAAGCUAACAAAAUGGGAGUUAACUGAGAAUUAUUUUAACAUUUAAACAAAACGCAAAGAUAGACUGAGGUUACCUAAACUUGAUACUAAACUAAGCUCAACGGAGUUAUAAUUUAAGCUAAAAAACUAAAGAACAAAGGAAUAUAAAACUUAUCAAAAAUGAACAUUCAAAAAAAGCUUCGAGAUUAACUUCAAAUUAAUACUAUACAUCUAUCUCAUUGGAGAUAAACUUAUAAUAUUAACCCGAGUUAACUCGUCUUUG
This 396-nucleotide long non-coding RNA is filed under the name Nicotiana benthamiana. RNAcentral describes it as "long non-coding RNA (NBEN_LNC022519)". Lineage: Eukaryota; Viridiplantae; Streptophyta; Magnoliopsida; Solanales; Solanaceae. The record is from RNAcentral.